CUUCCCCUGAGCUGCAGGAAUGGCGAGUGGCAAGUAUGGCUCAGUCAGCUCCUAGCGAAGCCCCGAGCUGCAGUCCCUUUGGGAAGAAGAAGAAGUACAAAGACAAAUAUCUGGCCAAGCACAGCUCGAUUUUUGAUCAGUUGGAUGUUGUUUCCUACGAGGAAGUCGUUCGGCUCCCUGCAUUCAAGAGGAAGACCCUGGUGCUGAUCGGUAUCUUCUCAUUGCCCCAUUUGCACAUUUCUGUCUUUGUUUUCCUGCCUGCAUCACGUGCCCACCCCCAAAAAAGGCAGUGAGGAAGAAAAGAACUGAGGUCUCUUGGGUUCUCCAUAUAGAGCAGGUGUAAGGAAUUUUCUGAAUCCUCACGUGCACCCCACCUGGGUCCACCUCACAAGUGAAACUAAACCUUACAAGUUUCUCUACUAUUUAGCAACGAAUUAUUUUUGGUUAGGUUUCAUGCUGUCUGCUGGCAGUGAUAUGCUUUGUAAAGCUCCCUUCCCCCAAGCAGUGACUCUGACCUGAAACAGAAUAAGUCCUCGCUUCAAACCCAGGUAUGUAGGCUUUGCCUCUGGCGGACUGCUCACCUUC
This 585-nucleotide small RNA is filed under the name Pan troglodytes (chimpanzee). RNAcentral describes it as "retained intron". The record is from RNAcentral. Lineage: Eukaryota; Metazoa; Chordata; Mammalia; Primates; Hominidae.